AGCUGCAGCAGAAGAGCGGAAAUGUCAAACGUGGAGGGCUGUGCCUGGCUGCUCCUGAGAAAACUGGAAGAUGGUGUGCCAUGUCAGAUCACGAGGCCACGAAGUGCACCAGUUUCCGAGACAAUAUGAAAAAAGUGUUUCCAGCAGAUGGUCCCCUUGUCACCUGCGUGGAGAGAGCGUCUUCCCUUGAGUACAUUAAAGCCAUCACAGAACAUUUUGGAAAAGACAAGUCGUCAGAAUUUCAGCUCUUUGGCUCUCCUCAUGAGACAGAUCUGCUGUUUACUGAUGCUGCCCAUGGGUUUUUAAUGGUCCCACCUAAGAUAGAUGCCAAGCUGUACCUGGGAUAUGAGUAUUUUUCCGCGACUCAGGAUCCAAAAAGAGUCACUCCAGGAGGGGUUCCACUGCCACCAUUUAACUGAAGAAAAAUUUAGGCUCCUAGAUGAUAAGGACGUGUCUGAGGUCACCUAAGAAGGACAAGACGGACCUUCCAUCUGCCAUGUUGACUCCCAACUUCUCCAAGUUUGAAUUUGUAGAGACCUGAUCUACAACACAGAGAAAAGG
Molecule: long non-coding RNA, 561 nt
Filed under: Homo sapiens (human)
Lineage: Eukaryota; Metazoa; Chordata; Mammalia; Primates; Hominidae
Description: novel transcript
Source: RNAcentral